Molecule: ribosomal RNA, 505 nt
Filed under: uncultured bacterium
Lineage: Bacteria
Description: bacterial SSU rRNA
Rfam family: Bacterial small subunit ribosomal RNA
Source: RNAcentral
GAUGAACGCUAGCUACAGGCUUAACACAUGCAAGUCGAGGGGCAGCACAAGGUAGUAAUACUGAGGUGGCGACCGGCGCACGGGUGAGUAACACGUAUCCAACCUGCCGUUUACUCUUGGAUAGCCUUCUGAAAAGGAGAUUAAUACAAGAUAGUAUCAUGAGAUCACAUGUUCACAUGAUUAAGGAAUUUCGGUAAACGAUGGGGAUGCGUUCCAUUAGGUAGUAGGCGGGGUAACGGCCCACCUAGUCUACGAUGGAUAGGGGUUCUGAGAGGAAGGUCCCCCACACUGGUACUGAGACACGGACCAGACUCCUACGGGAGGCAGCAGUGAGGAAUAUUGGUCAAUGGGCGAGAGCCUGAACCAGCCAAGUAGCGUGAAGGAUGACUGCCCUAUGGGUUGUAAACUUCUUUUAUAUGGGAAUAAAAAGAGCCACGUGUGGUUUAUUGUAUGUACCAUUAUGAAUAAGCAUCGGCUAACUCCGUGCCAGCCGCCGCGGUAAAAC